This is a transfer RNA of Fomitiporia mediterranea MF3/22, 82 nucleotides long. It matches the Rfam family "tRNA". From Rfam's summary of the family: Transfer RNA (tRNA) molecules are approximately 80 nucleotides in length. Their secondary structure includes four short double-helical elements and three loops (D, anti-codon, and T loops). The record is from Rfam. Lineage: Eukaryota; Fungi; Basidiomycota; Agaricomycetes; Hymenochaetales; Hymenochaetaceae.
GCCUUUGUAGCUCAGUGGUAGAGCGUAGCACUUGUAAAUUUUAGAGAUGCUAAGGUCUCUCGUUCGAUCCGGGGCAGAGGCA